Molecule: ribosomal RNA, 485 nt
Filed under: uncultured bacterium
Lineage: Bacteria
Description: bacterial SSU rRNA
Rfam family: Bacterial small subunit ribosomal RNA
Source: RNAcentral
AUUGAACGCUAGCGGCAUGCCUUACACAUGCAAGUCGAACGGCAGCACGGGGGCAACCCUGGUGGCGAGUGGCGAACGGGUGAGUAAUGCAUCGGAACGUGCCCAUCGAUGGGGGAUAACUGCGCGAAAGCGUUGCUAAUACCGCAUACGACCUACGGGUGAAAGCAGGGGACCGCAAGGCCUUGCGUCGAUGGAGCGGCCGAUGCCGGAUUAGCUAGUUGGUGAGGUAAAGGCUCACCAAGGCGACGAUCCCGUAGCUGGUCUGAGAGGACGACCAGCCACACUGGGACUGAGACACGGCCCAGACUCCUACGGGAGGCAGCAGUGGGGAAUCUUGGACAAUGGGCGAAAGCCUGAUCCAGCAAUGCCGCGUGUGGGAAGAAGGCCCUCGGGUUGUAAACCACUUUUGGCGGGAAAGAAAUGGUCUGUGCUAAUACCACGGAUUGAUGACGGUACCCGCAGAAUAAGCACCGGCUAACUACGUG